GAUGAACGCUGGCGGCGUGCUUUAACACAUGCAAGUCGAACGAAGAUGCCGGAGUGCUUGCACUUUGGCAGACUGAGUGGCGGACGGGUGAGUAACGCGUGGGUAACCUGCCUUAUACAGGGGGAUAACAGUUGGAAACGACUGCUAAUACCGCAUAAGCGCACGGUAUCGCAUGAUACAGUGUGAAAAACUCCGGUGGUAUAAGAUGGACCCGCGUCUGAUUAGCUAGUUGGUGAGGUAACGGCCCACCAAGUCGACGAUCAGUAGCCGGACUGAGAGGUUGAACGGCCACAUUGGGACUGAGAUACGGCCCAGACUCCUACGGGAGGCAGCAGUCGGGAAUAUUGCGCAAUGGAGGAAACUCUGACGCAGUGACGCCGCGUAUAGGAAGAAGGUUUUCGGAUUGUAAACUAUUGUCGUUAGGGAAGAUACAAGACAGUACCUAAGGAGGAAGCUCCGGCUAACUACGUG
RNAcentral lists this ribosomal RNA (471 nucleotides) under uncultured bacterium. Its description in RNAcentral is "bacterial SSU rRNA". It matches the Rfam family "Bacterial small subunit ribosomal RNA", at positions 28 to 507 of the family's 1533-position model. The record is from RNAcentral.